AAAAAAGGGGCUUCCAGGGACUCGUCUGAACUUGAAGAGAGACGGGACAACAGGGAACAGGGAAGAAUAGGACAGCAGGAGGAGCAGGGUGACCUCCAGUACGCCAGCAUCCACUUCUCCAACAACCAGGCAGAUCCUCUCUACUCCAACAUCAGGCCAGCUCAGCCCCUCAGACACACGGAGCAACAAGAAGGGGCUGAAUACGCCACCGUCAAGUUCAUCAGAGCCCCGAGAAUCAGAGCUGGAGAGGAUCCAGCUGCAUUGUACAGCACCGUCAACAAAAACUGAUGACCACAGAGUCUACACCUCUA
Molecule: long non-coding RNA, 311 nt
Organism: Anoplopoma fimbria (sablefish)
Lineage: Eukaryota; Metazoa; Chordata; Actinopteri; Perciformes; Anoplopomatidae
Exons: 3
Source: RefSeq, a predicted model, not a curated record